GAAAUCAUAACAUGGGAACAAUGGACCACGCUGGCUCCUUUCAAACUGGGAAAAAUUCUAUUUGGCUGGAUUUACCUACGAAUAUUUAUCGACGUUUUGAUAUGCUUUCUGCAGAUCUACAAAGACUGGAAUUGCACCGAAAUUCCUACCACUUUCAGGGGUCAAGGCGUCACCGCGGAGAGAUUUGAACGUUCCAGGACGUAUCGUUUACACAAACAUUAUGCAAAAAUCGGAUGCUACGCGUACAUUCUGGGGGUCGUUCACUAUAUUUACAUUGGGAAAGGCGCCCUUUACCUUUUGUGGAAUUGGAGUGGCGACAUUCUCACCGUUUUAGGAAUUUGGCCGGCCAGUU
Long non-coding RNA from Folsomia candida, 352 nucleotides. RefSeq lists it as uncharacterized. The record is from RefSeq and is a predicted model, not a curated record. The transcript is spliced from 3 exons. Lineage: Eukaryota; Metazoa; Arthropoda; Collembola; Entomobryomorpha; Isotomidae.